UACAGAGGUCUCAAGCGUUGUUCGGAUUCAUUGGGCGUAAAGGGUGCGUAGGCGGCUUCUUAAGUCUGGUGUGAAAUCUCCCGGCUCAACUGGGAGGGUGCGCCGGAUACUGAGGGGCUAGAGUGUGGGAGAGGAAAGUGGAAUUCCUGGUGUAGCGGUGAAAUGCGUAGAUAUCAGGAGGAACACUGGUGGUGUAAACGGCUUUCUGGACCAUAACUGACGCUGAGGCACGAAAGCGUGGGUAGCAAACAGG
Molecule: ribosomal RNA, 253 nt
Filed under: uncultured bacterium
Lineage: Bacteria
Description: partial 16S ribosomal RNA
Rfam family: Bacterial small subunit ribosomal RNA
Source: RNAcentral